This 230-nucleotide ribosomal RNA is filed under the name uncultured Alicycliphilus sp. Its description in RNAcentral is "partial 16S ribosomal RNA". It matches the Rfam family "Bacterial small subunit ribosomal RNA", at positions 548 to 774 of the family's 1533-position model. Lineage: Bacteria; Pseudomonadati; Pseudomonadota; Betaproteobacteria; Burkholderiales; Comamonadaceae. The record is from RNAcentral.
AGAGAUGCAUUGGGCUUAAAGCGUGCGCAGGCGGUUUUGUAAGACAGAGGUGAAAUCCCCGGGCUCAACCUGGGAACUGCCUUUGUGACUGCAAGGCUGGAGUGCGGCAGAGGGGGAUGGAAUUCCGCGUGUAGCAGUGAAAUGCGUAGAUAUGCGGAGGAACACCGAUGGCGAAGGCAAUCCCCUGGGCCUGCACUGACGCUCAUGCACGAAAGCGUGGGGAGCAAACA